GUGGCUAAUACCGCAUAACGUCGCAAGACCAAAGAGGGGGACCUUCGGGCCUCUUGCCAUCAGAUGUGCCCAGAUGGGAUUAGCUUGUUGGUGAGGUAACGGCUCACCAAGGCGACGAUCCCUAGCUGGUCUGAGAGGAUGACCAGCCACACUGGAACUGAGACACGGUCCAGACUCCUACGGGAGGCAGCAGUGGGGAAUAUUGCACAAUGGGCGCAAGCCUGAUGCAGCCAUGCCGCGUGUAUGAAGAAGGCCUUCGGGUUGUAAAGUACUUUCAGCGGGGAGGAAGGUGUUGUGGUUAAUAACCGCAGCAAUUGACGUUACCCGCAGAAGAAGCACCGGCUAACUCCGUGCCAGCAGCCGCGGUAAUACGGAGGGUGCAAGCGUUAAUCGGAAUUACUGGGCGUAAAGCGCACGCAGGCGGUCUGUCAAGUCGGAUGUGAAAUCCCCGGGCUCAACCUGGGAACUGCAUUCGAAACUGGCAGGCUUGAGUCUUGUAGAGGGGGGUAGAAUUCCAGGUGUAGCGGUGAAAUGCGUAGAGAUCUGGAGGAAUACCGGUGGCGAAGGCGGCCCCCUGGACAAAGACUGACGCUCAGGUGCGAAAGCGUGGGGAGCAAACAGGAUUAGAUACCCUGGUAGUCCACGCCGUAAACGAUGUCUACUUGGAGGUUGUGCCCUUGAGGCGUGGCUUCCGGAGCUAACGCGUUAAGUAGACCGCCUGGGGAGUACGGCCGCAAGGUUAAAACUCAAAUGAAUUGACGGGGGCCCGCACAAGCGGUGGAGCAUGUGGUUUAAUUCGAUGCAACGCGAAGAACCUUACCUGGUCUUGACAUCCACAGAACUUUCCAGAGAUGGAUUGGUGCCUUCGGGAACUGUGAGACAGGUGCUGCAUGGCUGUCGUCAGCUCGUGUUGUGAAAUGUUGGGUUAAGUCCCGCAACGAGCGCAACCCUUAUCCUUUGUUGCCAGCGGUCCGGCCGGGAACUCAAAGGAGACUGCCAGUGAUAAACUGGAGGAAGGUGGGGAUGACGUCAAGUCAUCAUGGCCCUUACGACCAGGGCUACACACGUGCUACAAUGGCGCAUACAAAGAGAAGCGACCUCGCGAGAGCAAGCGGACCUCAUAAAGUGCGUCGUAGUCCGGAUUGGAGUCUGCAACUCGACUCCAUGAAGUCGGAAUCGCUAGUAAUCGUGGAUCAGAAUGCCACGGUGAAUACGUUCCCGGGCCUUGUACACACCGCCCGUCACACCAUGGGAGUGGGUUGCAAAAGAAGUAGGUAGCUUAACCUUCGGGAGGGCGCUUACCACUUUGUGAUUCAUGACUGGGGUGAAGUCGUAACAAGGUAACCGUAGGGGAACCUGC
This 1360-nucleotide ribosomal RNA is filed under the name Salmonella enterica. RNAcentral's name for it is "bacterial SSU rRNA". It matches the Rfam family "Bacterial small subunit ribosomal RNA", at positions 159 to 1515 of the family's 1533-position model. Lineage: Bacteria; Pseudomonadati; Pseudomonadota; Gammaproteobacteria; Enterobacterales; Enterobacteriaceae. RNAcentral also lists the same sequence under 1 other name. The record is from RNAcentral.